This 439-nucleotide unclassified non-coding RNA is filed under the name uncultured fungus. RNAcentral describes it as "sequence contains 18S rRNA gene, ITS1, 5.8S rRNA gene, ITS2, 28S rRNA gene". Lineage: Eukaryota; Fungi. The record is from RNAcentral.
GAUUGGUAAUAGACCCACGGUUGAAGCUCUCACCCCAGUAGAGGUCGAAACGGCCGUUCGGGUAGUCGUCAACCACUUCAUUGGCAAUACGAUUCAACGCAUAACCACCCUUGAAGGUGUGCUGCUGACCGAAGAAGCGAGUGAUGUAGGUGCCAUCGAGAUAGACAUUGUGACGCGUCAGGGUGUCCUUGACGACGGUGAACGGAUUGCUUAUGUUCGUGAAUCCCUGAGCACCCGCAUAAGCGGGGGGCACCGGGGGAUUAGUCUGUUGGGAACUCGCACGCGCCCAGGUGAGAUACGUUCCGGUCGGCAACCCGUAGGUAUUGCCCUUAUCGUUCGUGUACUUGUAACCGUAGCGAGCACUCACGAUGAGCGACGGCGUGAUGGUGUAACUGAAUGACGCCGUGUACGCCUGCGAUGGCGUGUAGCCGCCCUGGAU